UGCAUAUCAAAAAGCGGAGGAAAAGAAACCAACAGGGAUUGCCUUAGUAGCGGCGAGUGAAGCGGCAAAAGCUCAAAUUUGAAAUCUGGCACUUUCAGUGUCCGAGUUGUAAUUUGAAGAAGGUAUCUUUGGGUCUGGCUCUUGUCUAUGUUUCUUGGAACAGAACGUCACAGAGGGUGAGAAUCCCGUGCGAUGAGAUGUCCCAGACCUAUGUAAAGUUCCUUCGAAGAGUCGAGUUGUUUGGGAAUGCAGCUCUAAGUGGGUGGUAAAUUCCAUCUAAAGCUAAAUAUUGGCGAGAGACCGAUAGCGAACAAGUACAGUGAUGGAAAGAUGAAAAGAACUUUGAAAAGAGAGUGAAAAAGUACGUGAAAUUGUUGAAAGGGAAGGGCUUGAGAUCAGACUUGGUAUUUUGUAUGUUACUCUCUCGGGGGUGGCCUCUACAGUUUACCGGGCCAGCAUCAGUUUGGGCGGUAGGACAAUUGCAAAGAAAUGUGGCACUGCCUCGGUAGUGUGUUAUAGUCUUUGUCGAUACUGCCAGCCUAGACUGAGGACUGCGGCUUCGGCCUAGGAUGUUGGCAUAAUGAUCUUAAGUCGCCCGUCUUGAACAACGGACC
RNAcentral lists this ribosomal RNA (614 nucleotides) under Lodderomyces orthopsilosis. RNAcentral's name for it is "eukaryotic LSU rRNA". It matches the Rfam family "Eukaryotic large subunit ribosomal RNA", at positions 37 to 667 of the family's 3401-position model. The record is from RNAcentral. Lineage: Eukaryota; Fungi; Ascomycota; Pichiomycetes; Serinales; Debaryomycetaceae.